This is an RNA transcript of Cyprinodon variegatus (sheepshead minnow), 2228 nucleotides long. It is a transcript of the gene named death domain-containing protein CRADD-like, with no coding region annotated. The transcript has 3 exons. The record is from RefSeq and is a predicted model, not a curated record. NCBI's taxonomy places the organism in Eukaryota, Metazoa, Chordata, Actinopteri, Cyprinodontiformes, Cyprinodontidae.
CCACUCCGGCACUGGUACUGGUACCGGACCGGGUGGGGUGGGUUUAUUUCCCGGGUCCUGCUAUUUGUUCUGAUCUAACCCAAAUAGAGGAUUCUGGUUGCUAAAUCGGGCCCAAAGGUUCUGAUGGACCCGGCGCACAGAGCGGUGCUCCGGAGGUUCCGGGUGAAGCUGUCCGACCAGCUGCUGGUCACCGACACCAUCCUUCCGUUUCUGUUCCAGGAGGGGAUUCUGACAGAGGCCCAGGUCCAGCAGGUGGAGAGUCAGCCGACCGACAAGCAGAAGAACCUGAAGCUGUUGGACCUCCUGCCGAACCGCGGACCUCGUGCCUUUAGCGUCUUCUUGGACGCUCUGCGGGACUACAGCUGGAUCCGGGAGCAGCUGGAACUGGAGCUGCGGAACACUUCCGGUGGAGGGUCACCAGAUGACUUUGCUGCUCCUUCCUGUUGCCACGGAGACAGAUGCCAGCUUCCUGACUCAGUCCUGCAGAAGGUUCCUUCGGAUCAGGAGUUGUCCCGGCUGGCCUCAAGACUGGGCGCCGAGUGGGAGGAAGUUCUGUUGGACCUGGGUGUGUCCGCCGAAGCUCUGUACCGCUGCCGCUCCGAUCACAUCCUGAGCAGCCAGGCAGCGGCGCUGGCGGGCCUGGUUCUGUGGAGGCGGUCCGAGGGGAAGAAGGCUACGCUGGCGAGGCUGCUCCAGAGUCUGGAGACCGCUGACAUCCAUCCGUCUGUCCUGGAGGAUGCUGUUAUGAGAUGAGGCUUCUACACUCCAGUCUGGGGUUAAAUGACUAAGAAUCCAGCUGGGUUGGUCCAUGAUCGGACUGAUGACGAUUGCCAUAAAUUCACUAGAUAUUUAAAUUUAAGUCAAAUUACUUUAUGUACAGGAAGGAAGGUUCUGGGGUUUCAUUUAUAAAAAUGAGUAUGCUCCAUGGCAGAAGUGUACAUAUGCCAAAAAAAAUCCUGUCAUGGAGAUGCACAAAUCUGGAUUUAUAAACCAUGCUGAUGCACAAAUUAUGAUAAACCACAGAGGUGAACAAAUCCUGAUUUAUAAACCGUAUAGGUGAACAAAUCCUGAUUUAUAAACCAUGGAGGUUAACAAAUCUGGAUUUAUAAACCGUAUAGGUGAACAAAUCCUGAUUUAUAAACCAUGGAGGUGAACAAAUCCUGAUUUAUAAACCAUGGAGGUGAACAAAUCCUGAUUUAUAAACCAUGGAGGCGAAUAUGCCUAAAUAUGCCUUUAUAUACCCCAUCUAGACCUCAGUUUGGGUCCAUGGCUGCUCCUCACAUCCAGCCAUAAAUAGUCCAUCAAAGCACUGCAUGAAUGUUAUUGUGUAUAUAAAUGAGACAGCCGAUCGUUGUUUUGUGGUUACUAUGGCAACCACAUCCAAUUGGAGCAGAAUAGGCUCGGUGUAACUGAGCUGUCGGUUUGAGUGAUGUAAAUGAAAGGAAGUAUUAUUAACGAGAUCUUCAGUCUGAUAGACAGAAUGAUCAGAUUAUCUCAUCUCAGAUUUAUAAAUUCACCCAUAAAUAUUAUCAAUUCUCAGAAUUAUUUUCACUUCAGUAAAUAAAAAUAAGAAAAAUACACUUAUAUACUUAUAACAAAUGACUAACUUAGUAAUUUAAGUAAAUAAGUGUAAAUUUGGCAAGGGAAUAAAAUAAAUAACAUUUUAUUUAAAAGUUUUAAUCUACGCUAUGAAGAGGGAUGGUGUAGGUCUAGCGGGUCGGUCUGUCUGAUACAGGAUUACUGAUCUCUAGUUAUUCACUGGAUUACUGAUAGUCCGAUAGUCGUACGGGGUGAAGUGAAGCCGCCAUAUUGGUACUCCCUAAUUAGACCGGUUGCAAUGUAAAAACUGCAUGAUGUGGUUCCUGAUCAGCUGAGAACUGCUCAUCAUCAUGGCUCAGGAAACAUGGAUCAUUCCUGAAAAUCUCCCCUUUCCAUAAUUUUAUAAUUAGGAGAUAAACUCGCAUAAUGACGAGAUACUGAUCUCGUACUUAUGAGAUAAGCUGUCUGAUUUUAUGUUCUUUGGUGAAUGCAAUACACUUCCAUACUUUAUUGAUGCUUUUUGCUUUAUUUUGCGUUUUCUUCUGGGAAUGUUUUAUAUUUUUCAGGGUUCUCCUCUGAGGAUGCUUAGUUUUUUUAUAAAUGUUUUUUUAUUGUUCUUUACUCUAAAAAUGAUGUGUCAAUAACAUUUAAUGUCCAUUUUUGACAAUAAUGCUUCAUUAAAGAUGUAC